Planctomycetes bacterium GWC2_45_44 is the source of this 74-nucleotide non-coding RNA. Lineage: Bacteria; Pseudomonadati; Planctomycetota. The record is from Rfam.
GGGCUCGUAGCUCAGUUGGUUAGAGCGUGCGCCUGAUAAGCGCAAGGUCGGAAGUUCGAAUCUUCCCGGGCCCA